UUCCAUGCCUGUUGCUGCUACCUUGGCGUGGUGGUCGGGCUUGCUUAUUGUGAUGAACCGAUCAAGCUAUACUGGCUGGAACAAUCAUUUCUCAAGGUCCUGCCAUGCUAGACAGGUCGGUUGAAGAGUGGUAAGUCUAAAAGCAGC
Molecule: non-coding RNA, 147 nt
Filed under: Schistosoma mansoni
Lineage: Eukaryota; Metazoa; Platyhelminthes; Trematoda; Strigeidida; Schistosomatidae
Source: RNAcentral